RNAcentral lists this ribosomal RNA (253 nucleotides) under uncultured bacterium. RNAcentral's name for it is "partial 16S ribosomal RNA". It matches the Rfam family "Bacterial small subunit ribosomal RNA", at positions 524 to 776 of the family's 1533-position model. The record is from RNAcentral.
UACGUAGGGGGCAAGCGUUGUCCGGAAUCAUUGGGCGUAAAGCGCGCGUAGGCGGCCCGGUAAGUCCGCUGUAAAAGUCCAGGGCUCAACCCUGGAAAGCCGGUGGAUACUGUCGGGCUAGAGUCCGGAAGAGGCGAGUGGAAUUCCUGGUGUAGCGGUGAAAUGCGUAGAUAUCUGGAGGAACACCGGUGGCGAAGGCGGCAUCCUGGACCGGCAUUGACGCUGAAUAGCGAAAGCCAGGGGAGCAAACGGG